RNAcentral lists this ribosomal RNA (1536 nucleotides) under Bacteroides ovatus. RNAcentral describes it as "bacterial SSU rRNA". It matches the Rfam family "Bacterial small subunit ribosomal RNA". Lineage: Bacteria; Pseudomonadati; Bacteroidota; Bacteroidia; Bacteroidales; Bacteroidaceae. The record is from RNAcentral.
CUUUUACAAUGAAGAGUUUGAUCCUGGCUCAGGAUGAACGCUAGCUACAGGCUUAACACAUGCAAGUCGAGGGGCAGCAUUUUAGUUUGCUUGCAAACUGAAGAUGGCGACCGGCGCACGGGUGAGUAACACGUAUCCAACCUGCCGAUAACUCCGGGAUAGCCUUUCGAAAGAAAGAUUAAUACCGGAUAGCAUACGAAUAUCGCAUGAUAUUUUUAUUAAAGAAUUUCGGUUAUCGAUGGGGAUGCGUUCCAUUAGUUUGUUGGCGGGGUAACGGCCCACCAAGACUACGAUGGAUAGGGGUUCUGAGAGGAAGGUCCCCCACAUUGGAACUGAGACACGGUCCAAACUCCUACGGGAGGCAGCAGUGAGGAAUAUUGGUCAAUGGGCGCGAGCCUGAACCAGCCAAGUAGCGUGAAGGAUGAAGGCUCUAUGGGUCGUAAACUUCUUUUAUAUGGGAAUAAAGUUUUCCACGUGUGGAAUUUUGUAUGUACCAUAUGAAUAAGGAUCGGCUAACUCCGUGCCAGCAGCCGCGGUAAUACGGAGGAUCCGAGCGUUAUCCGGAUUUAUUGGGUUUAAAGGGAGCGUAGGUGGAUUGUUAAGUCAGUUGUGAAAGUUUGCGGCUCAACCGUAAAAUUGCAGUUGAAACUGGCAGUCUUGAGUACAGUAGAGGUGGGCGGAAUUCGUGGUGUAGCGGUGAAAUGCUUAGAUAUCACGAAGAACUCCGAUUGCGAAGGCAGCUCACUAGACUGUCACUGACACUGAUGCUCGAAAGUGUGGGUAUCAAACAGGAUUAGAUACCCUGGUAGUCCACACAGUAAACGAUGAAUACUCGCUGUUUGCGAUAUACAGUAAGCGGCCAAGCGAAAGCAUUAAGUAUUCCACCUGGGGAGUACGCCGGCAACGGUGAAACUCAAAGGAAUUGACGGGGGCCCGCACAAGCGGAGGAACAUGUGGUUUAAUUCGAUGAUACGCGAGGAACCUUACCCGGGCUUAAAUUGCAACAGAAUAUAUUGGAAACAGUAUAGCCGUAAGGCUGUUGUGAAGGUGCUGCAUGGUUGUCGUCAGCUCGUGCCGUGAGGUGUCGGCUUAAGUGCCAUAACGAGCGCAACCCUUAUCUUUAGUUACUAACAGGUCAUGCUGAGGACUCUAGAGAGACUGCCGUCGUAAGAUGUGAGGAAGGUGGGGAUGACGUCAAAUCAGCACGGCCCUUACGUCCGGGGCUACACACGUGUUACAAUGGGGGGUACAGAAGGCGGCUACCUGGUGACAGGAUGCUAAUCCCAAAAACCUCUCUCAGUUCGGAUCGAAGUCUGCAACCCGACUUCGUGAAGCUGGAUUCGCUAGUAAUCGCGCAUCAGCCAUGGCGCGGUGAAUACGUUCCCGGGCCUUGUACACACCGCCCGUCAAGCCAUGAAAGCCGGGGGUACCUGAAGUACGUAACCGCAAGGAGCGUCCUAGGGUAAAACUGGUAAUUGGGGCUAAGUCGUAACAAGGUAGCCGUACCGGAAGGUGCGGCUGGAACACCUCCUUUCU